Molecule: non-coding RNA, 1325 nt
Organism: Physcomitrium patens
Lineage: Eukaryota; Viridiplantae; Streptophyta; Bryopsida; Funariales; Funariaceae
Source: RefSeq, a predicted model, not a curated record
CGGCUUUUUUUUGUUAACUUUAGAAGUUUUUUCACUUGUAUUGCUUAAUGAUAUGUUCUUUUCAUUUUUAUUUUUGAUCUCUUUAUGCACAUCAUUGUCCAUUCAUCAUUGAUCAAUAUAUUCUUGGGUGACAAUGUCAACAAAAUCCUACAUUUCAUUUUUUUAGAUACAAUUGUGAGAUAUUCACUUGUAAACUCUUUCGCAAUUACAAAAAACUUGUGAGGAAUUAAAUGCAUGAAACAAUAAAAACCUACAAGUAUUUACAAGUUACAUAAUCAUCCCUUUUUUUUUUCUAUGUUUUUAAAAUUGUGCAAUUGCAAAAUAAGAAUUUCUUUGAAAACUAUGACAAAAGUUUUACAAUAAUGAGAUUUUAAUGCAAAUUGCAUUGUUUAUGAGCUUCCAAUAGUAAGAAAAAAACACUUGUUGUAAUGUUUUACAAGAAAUCCAACACAUCAAUUUUAUAACAAGUCAAGCAAAGCCAAAACUAUUCUUGCCUUCACCUCACACAUGUUCACAAAAUGAACAAACUUCCUUCUUAUUAUACUUUUGUAAUUUUUUUGUCUUAGGUCCACCAACACCAAGUAGAAGAUGAAUAAAGAAAAAUAAAACCUUCGUUAAAAAAACAUUGUACCCACAUAUCACUUCGUUAAAAAAACAGAGUUGCAAAGUUUCAAUUUCAAUUAUGUAGUUCUCUCAGCAAGAAGACAUAAAAACAGCAUAAAGAAAUGACUUUACUGUAAAUGCACCCUCGUUUUUCUAUACAAAUCUUUGUGAUUCAUUUGUUUUGUUUUCAUUAUUUUUUUUGUAAAAUUUUGUUUUUAGCAGACCAGGGAAGUUAUUAAUCCAACAAGGACCAUCGCUCAUGAAGCAUUGCAGCUGGAUCCAAAACCAUGUCACCCAGUAUUAUUAAAGCUUAUUUCCACCUUCACUUGAAGCUCUUGCAUCUGCCGGGUUCUUGACAAAAUCCAUGGCGCCGACAGCUUCCAGCUAUUCCAGCUCUGUGGGUCCACAGGCUUUGCCGAUCUCAUUUUCUAAGAACUCAAAUUGUUGUGAGCGACUUCGAUUUUGUGGCGUCCUGACAGAAUAAAUGCAAUCAAAUUAUAAGGAUAUUUCCUCCUCACAACGGAGAUUGUCAAAUCUGAAAGAAUAUUCCAAACGAAUUCUUGGCACACUUAAAAAACCUGCAACCUUCGGAACUCUUCAAUCAGUUAGAGCAGACACAUUCGGAAUUGGUCCGGUUAUGGUGUGAUGGUGUUGCAUCAACUUGGGCAGCACUGCAGGACGGGAAUUUUCCUUCACACUUGCAACGAGAUUAGCUUUGUGAU